RNAcentral lists this ribosomal RNA (253 nucleotides) under uncultured bacterium. Its description in RNAcentral is "partial 16S ribosomal RNA". It matches the Rfam family "Bacterial small subunit ribosomal RNA", at positions 524 to 776 of the family's 1533-position model. The record is from RNAcentral.
UACGUAGGGACCGAGCGUUGUCCGGAAUCAUUGGGCGUAAAGAGCGUGUAGGCGGCCACUUAAGUCCUGCGUGAAAUCUUGCGGCUCAACCGCAAGCGGUCGUGGGAAACUGGGUGGCUAGAGUGCGGGAGAGGAGACUGGAAUUCCUGGUGUAGCGGUGGAAUGCGCAGAUAUCAGGAGGAACACCGGUGGCGAAGGCGGGUCUCUGGGCAGUAACUGACGCUGAGGAGCGAAAGCGUGGGGAGCGAACAGG